Molecule: ribosomal RNA, 480 nt
Filed under: uncultured bacterium
Lineage: Bacteria
Description: partial 16S ribosomal RNA
Rfam family: Bacterial small subunit ribosomal RNA
Source: RNAcentral
GACGAACGCUGGCGGCGUGCUUAACACAUGCAAGUCGAACGAUGAACCUCGAAAUGAUUUCUUCGGAAAGAUUUUUGAGAGGAUUAGUGGCGAACGGGUGAGUAACGCGUGAGCAACCUGCCUUAGACAAGGGGAUAGCCUCGGGAAACCGUGAUUAAUACCCUAUGAGACUCCACUUACGAGUGUAAGAGAAGUUAAAGCUAUUGCGGUCUAAGAUGGGCUCGCGUCUGAUUAGCUAGUUGGUGAGAUAAAAGCCCACCAAGGCGACGAUCAGUAACCGGCUUGAGAGAGUGAGCGGUCACAUUGGAACUGAGACACGGUCCAAACUCCUACGGGAAGCAGCAGUGGGGAAUAUUGCACAAUGGGGGCAACCCUGAUGCAGCGACGCCGCGUGAGCGAUGAAGGAAUUCGUUUCGUAAAGCUCUGUCCUUGGAGAAGAUAAUGACGGUAACCAAGGAGGAAGCACCGGCUAAAUACGUG